UUUCCUGUCGGCUCACGGUCAGA
This 23-nucleotide microRNA is filed under the name Heligmosomoides polygyrus. Its description in RNAcentral is "hpo-miR-10028-3p". Lineage: Eukaryota; Metazoa; Nematoda; Chromadorea; Rhabditida; Heligmosomidae. The record is from miRBase by way of RNAcentral.